Molecule: ribosomal RNA, 497 nt
Filed under: uncultured bacterium
Lineage: Bacteria
Description: partial 16S ribosomal RNA
Rfam family: Bacterial small subunit ribosomal RNA
Source: RNAcentral
GAUGAACGCUGGCGGCGUGCCUAAUACAUGCAAGUCGAGCGAACAGACGAGGAGCUUGUUCCUUUGACGUUAGCGGCGGACGGGUGUGUAACACGUGUAUAACCUACCUAUAAUUCUGGGAUAACUACGGAAAUCCGGAGCUAAUACCGGAUAAUAUAUUGAACCGCAGGGUGCAAUGGUGAAUGUCGGCUUUGCUGUCUCUUCUAGAUGGAUCCGCGCCGCAUUAGCUAGUUGGUAAGGUAACGGCUUACCAAGGCGACGAUGCGUAGCCGACCUGAGAGGGUGAUCGGCCACACUGGAACUGAGCCACGGUCCAGACUCCUACGGGAGGCAGCAGUAGGGAAUCUUCCGCAAUGGGCGAAAGCCUGACGGAGCAACGCCGCGUGAGUGAUGAAGGUCUUCGGAUCGUAAAGCUCUGUUAUUAGGGAAGAACAAAUGUGUAAGUAACUAUGCACGUCUUGACGGUACCUAAUCAGAAAGCCACGGCUAACUACGUG